GGGGAUUUGGCUCAGUGGCAGAGCACUUGCCUAGGAAGCGCAAGGCCCUGGGUUCAGUCCCCA
Molecule: non-coding RNA, 63 nt
Organism: Rattus norvegicus (Norway rat)
Lineage: Eukaryota; Metazoa; Chordata; Mammalia; Rodentia; Muridae
Source: Rfam